This 484-nucleotide ribosomal RNA is filed under the name uncultured bacterium. RNAcentral's name for it is "partial 16S ribosomal RNA". It matches the Rfam family "Bacterial small subunit ribosomal RNA", at positions 29 to 506 of the family's 1533-position model. The record is from RNAcentral.
AUUGAACGCUGGCGGCAGGCCUAACACAUGCAAGUCGAGCGGAUGAAGGGAGCUUGCUCCUGGAUUCAGCGGCGGACGGGUGAGUAAUGCCUAGGAAUCUGCCUGGUAGUGGGGGAUAACGUCCGGAAACGGGCGCUAAUACCGCAUACGUCCUGAGGGAGAAAGUGGGGGAUCUUCGGACCUCACGCUAUCAGAUGAGCCUAGGUCGGAUUAGCUAGUUGGUGGGGUAAAGGCCUACCAAGGCGACGAUCCGUAACUGGUCUGAGAGUGUGAUUAGUCACAAUGGAAAGGGAGAAACGGCCCAGAUCCCAAGGGGGGGAAGAGGGGGGGAAUGUAGGCAAUGGGGGGAAAGCCUAGCCUGGCCAUCCCGGGGGGGUAAAGGAGGUUUUGGGGUUGUAAAGCAUUUUAAGUUGGGAGAAAGGGAAGUAAGUUAAUCCCUUGGUUUUUUGACGUAACCAACAAAAAAAGCACCGGCCACUUGCGG